This is a long non-coding RNA of Oncorhynchus tshawytscha (Chinook salmon), 414 nucleotides long. Lineage: Eukaryota; Metazoa; Chordata; Actinopteri; Salmoniformes; Salmonidae. The record is from Ensembl.
CCUCUGUCCCCUAGCCUCUGUCCCUCUGUCCCCUAGCCUCUCUCCCUUCUCCCUCCCUCCCACAGCCCCUAUCUCCCCUGUCCCCUAGCCUCUGUCCCUAUCUCCUCUGUCCCCUAGCCUCUCUCCCCUUCUCCCUCCCUCCCACAGCCCCUAUCUCCCCUUAGCCUCUCCCCUAUCUCCCCCUGUCCCCUAGCCUCUCUCCCCUUCUCCCUCCCUCCCACAGCCCCUAUCUCCUUCCCCUGUCCCUAGCCUCUGUCCCUAUCUCCCCUCCUCUGUCCCCCUCUCUCCCCUUCUCCCUCCCUCCCACAGCCCCUAUCUCCCCCUGUCCCCUAGCCUCUUUCCCCUAUCUCACUCCUCUCCCCAAGCCCUCCCCCGGCCCCUCCCCCUCUCCCCCAGCCCCUCCCCAUCUCUCCC